RNAcentral lists this long non-coding RNA (518 nucleotides) under Neodiprion pinetum (white pine sawfly). Its description in RNAcentral is "uncharacterized LOC124216420". The record is from RNAcentral. Lineage: Eukaryota; Metazoa; Arthropoda; Insecta; Hymenoptera; Diprionidae.
UACGACGUGCGCUACGUCGGCGGGAGGGGGCGGGAAAUCGGAAAGUGCCCCGACGGUACUUAGGUUCUGAUAGCGAAGCUGUUCGAGUCACCGAACAGACUCGUGCUGUUUGUCGAAAAUCGAUUGACGAACGUGAAGUAUUGACGAUAAUAGUUGAAAAAAAAAAAAAAAAGAGUCGACAAGAAGAAAUAAGAUCGAGUAAACGCAACGAAACACGUUCAAAACACUCGUUGUUUCGCGGUGGUGACAAGAACUAUGUAAUACAACGAUUGUUCCAAAAUUUUCAUCAACGUAAAGAAAAACUCUCGUCGACGAACGACUAGAGGGGAAAAAAAAGGCAAAAAACAAAAAAAAAAAAAAAAAACCUCACCUCUAAAACACCCGUGACUGUGAUAAUUAUCGAAGCUGGUGUAUCAAGACUUGAAGUGAAUAAUAAAUACAACAAUAAUAAUAACAUAACAAGGAGCGUGUACCCUUGAAGUAAAUCCACUUUGCUGUGAAAGUGACCGAAGGGAUAA